Molecule: ribosomal RNA, 74 nt
Filed under: Candidatus Daviesbacteria bacterium
Lineage: Bacteria; Candidatus Daviesiibacteriota
Description: partial 16S ribosomal RNA
Rfam family: Bacterial small subunit ribosomal RNA
Source: RNAcentral
GACCCCAUGAAGUCGGAAUUGCUAGUAAUCGCGGAUCAGCAUGCCGCGGUGAAUACGUUCUCGGGUCUUGUACA